UUGGAUAACGUCUGGGUAAACAAACUUUUAUGAUGACUGCUCCACUCUAGUCAAGCCUUUUGGAUUUGUUGUAGCAGUUGUUGCCAGGACCUGAGCCCUAGGACCAUGCCUCAGGACUACAGGAUGACUCGUUGCUGUCCCCAGUCCACCUGGCCGUGCUGCUGCUCCAGUUUCAACUGUUGUGCCUGCGGCUAUGGAACCCUGACCUGUUCACUGGACGUACUACCUGUCCGAGACCUGCUGUUUUCAACUCUCUAGAGACAGCAGGAGCAGUAGAGAUACUCUUAAUGAUCGGCUAUGAAAAGCCAACUGACAUUUACUUUUGAGGUGCUGACUUGUUGCACCCUCGACAACCGCUGUGAUUAUUAUUAUUUGACCAUGCUGGAAAUUUAUGAACAUUUGAACAUCUUGGCCAUGUUCUGUUAUAAUCUCCACCCGGCACAGCCAGAAGAGGACUGGCCACCCCUCAUAGCCUGGUUCCUCUCUAGGUUUCUUCCUAGGUUUUAGCCUUUCUAGGGUGUUUUUCCUAGCCAUCGUGCUUCUACACCUGCAUUGCUUGCUGUUUGGGCUUUUAGGCUGGGUUUCUGUACAGCACUUUGAGAUAUCAGCUGAUGUAAGAAGGGCUAUAUAAAUACAUUUGAUUUGGGCUAAAUUCAGUCUGGUCCUUAUACAAUCAUGGCCACUUAACCAUUCCCAGCUUCCUAUUGGCUCAUUCAUCCCCCUCAUCUCCCCCGUAACUAUUGUCCUCGGUCAACUUAAAUACCCUCACCACCUGGGGGUGGCCCCUCAGAACGUCCAGGAUCCAGUUGCAGAGGGAGGUGUUCAGUCUCAGUGGCCUUAGCAUAGUGAUGAACUUGGAGGGCACUAUGGUGUUGCAGAGGAUACCUCCCAUGUGCCAGUGAUCGAUCUAGACGUACUCCCAGAGAGCGACCCAGGUGAUCAUGUGUGUCCUCCAGAUUACUUAAUCCAAUUGCUCUUAAUGGUUAAUCACAGUAGGGAUGACCAGGGAUGUUCUCUUGAUAAAUAUGUGAAUUUGACUAUCUUCCUGUCCUGCUAAGCAUUGAAAUGUAAUGACUACUUUUGGGUGUCAGGGAAAAUGGAUAGAGUGAAAUGUACAUGAUUUUAUUUAGGAAUGUAGUGAAGUAAAAGUAAAAGCAGUCAAAAAUAUAAAUAGUAAAUUACAGAUACCCCAAAACCUACUUAAAUAAAAAAUACUUUCAAGUACUACUUAAAAGUAGUUUACACCAUGGGAUAACUCCAUCAUGCGAGCCUAUGUGUCUCCCAGUCUGAGGACCACGAACCUUUAAGGGAAAGACGUCAGUGUCCCGAUCGUCUUGCUGUGAGAGAUUGGACCAAGGCGCAGCGUGUGCAAAAUACAUCUUCUUUUAUUUAGAAGAGAGAGGGAAAAAACACGAAACGAAUACUAUACACAAACUAACAAAAUAACAAACUGACAACCGUGAAGCUAAUAUGACAAAUAGUGCUGACACAAACACUACACAUAGACAAUUACCCACAAACAGCUAAAGCCUAUGGCUGCCUUAAAUAUGGCUCCCAAUCAGAGACAACAAUAACCAGCUGUCUCUGAUUGAGAACCUAUUCAGGCAACCAUAGACUUUCCUAGACACCUACACUGAACACUAACCCAUCUACUCUACUUAACCCCCUAAACCAUACAACCACCCUAGACAAUACAAAAACACAUACCUUCCCCAUGUCACACCCUGACCUAACUAAAAUAAUAAAUGAAACAAAGAACACUAAGGCCAGGGCGUGACAGUCAGCCUCAUCUUACUCCUGCUACCCUCCCCCGAGCGUACCGGAUGGUUAUGGCCAAACUAUAUUUUGAGCAAUUAAAAAAUAUAUAUAUAUAUACAUGUAUAUUCGGGAAAGAAGCACAUUGCUCUUGCUUGCUGGAUAUAAAAUAAGCUACAGUAAAAAUGCAAUAUAUACGGGAAUCCUCUGUUCUCCCCACACCCAAUGUUUAUGUUUACAAUGAAAUGCAUUACAUCAGAAUGCCCAAUGCUAGAAUGUUUACAAUCAAAUUUAUGAAUUAAGUUAGAACAUUUUCCUAUCAGUCUAAUUUGCAUAAACAUUGUGAUUGGAGGAUAGCUGUGAGGGUUUUCAAUCAGGAUCAAAUCCUCUGAUCUCCUCAAGCUCAUUAAUGAUAUAAUGUUCAUAUUCAUAUUCAUAGGGUUCUACAUGGAACCCUAAACAGUUCUACCUGGAACCAAAAAGGGUUAUUCUAUGGGGACAGCCGAAGAACCAUUUUUAAGUUCUAGAUGGCAACUUUUUGUCUAAAAGUGUAUGGUUGCAUAGGAGUGGACUCAAACUAAGGUGAACCCAAGAGCAGCUUGUCGAACGGCCUCGUCAACACUCCAUCGCCAGCAAUCAUGGAUUUGUAUCGUACAAUAAUCAGAGACAACAUGUCUGUAAGCUUAGUCAUUCAUAUUUGACAUUAUAAAAUUGGCUUACAUGCAUAAUUGUAGCCUAUUCACAAGUAGUGCUUUGCGAUAUCACGGUUAUUUUGUCAAUUGAUUAUUCAGUGAUUUUAAAAAACAAUGCAAACUGGCUCUAGCCAGAAUAGGAAGAGGAGUGGGACCCCUCACAAGUCCUCAACUGGCAGCUUCAUUAAAUAGUACCCACAAAACACUAGUCUCAACGUCAACAGUGAAGAGGCGACUCAGGGAUGCUGGCCUUCUUGUUUUCUUUAUUUUUUGGUUAGGUCAGGGUGUGACAAGGGUGGUUUGUUUAGUUUUUGUAUUUAUCUAGGGGUUUUGUCUAUCUAUGGGGAUUUGGUAUGGUCUAGGGGAUUGUAGGUUUAUGGUGGCCUGAAUUGGUUCCCAAUCAUAGACAGCUGUUUCUCGUUGUCUCUGAUUGGGGAGCCUAUUUAGGUUGCCAUUUUCCAUGUUGGUUUUGUGGGUAGUUGUUUUCUGUUUUGUGUGAGUACCUGACAGAACUGUUGUGUUUUUGUUCCACUUUUUGCUUUCAGUGUUCUGGUUAUAAUAAACAUCAUGAACACGUACCACACUG
Molecule: long non-coding RNA, 3033 nt
Organism: Salvelinus fontinalis (brook trout)
Lineage: Eukaryota; Metazoa; Chordata; Actinopteri; Salmoniformes; Salmonidae
Exons: 2
Source: RefSeq, a predicted model, not a curated record